UCCUACGGGGGGCAGCAGUGGGGAAUAUUGCACAAUGGGGGAAACCCUGAUGCAGCGACGCCGCGUGAGCGAUGAAGUAUUUCGGUAUGUAAAGCUCUAUCAGCAGGGAAGAAAAUGACGGUACCUGACUAAGAAGCCCCGGCUAACUACGUGCCAGCAGCCGCGGUAAUACGUAGGGGGCGAGCGUUAUCCGGAAUUACUGGGUGUAAAGGGAGCGUAGACGGCGAAGUAAGCCUGAAGUGGAAGCCCGCGGCCCAACCGCGGAACUGCUUUGAGAACUGUUUUGCUGGAGUAUGGGAGGGGUA
This 305-nucleotide ribosomal RNA is filed under the name uncultured bacterium. RNAcentral's name for it is "bacterial SSU rRNA". It matches the Rfam family "Bacterial small subunit ribosomal RNA", at positions 337 to 659 of the family's 1533-position model. The record is from RNAcentral.